AGAGAGGAGCUUGCUCUUCUUGGAUGAGUUGCGAACGGGUGAGUAACGCGUAGGUAACCUGCCUUGUAGCGGGGGAUAACUAUUGGAAACGAUAGCUAAUACCGCAUAACAAUGGGUGACUCAUGUCAUUUAUUUGAAAGGGGCAAAUGCUCCACUACAAGAUGGACCUGCGUUGUAUUAGCUAGUAGGUGAGGUAACGGCUCACCUAGGCGACGAUACAUAGCCGACCUGAGAGGGUGAUCGGCCACACUGGGACUGAGACACGGCCCAGACUCCUACGGGAGGCAGCAGUAGGGAAUCUUCGGCAAUGGGGGCAACCCUGACCGAGCAACGCCGCGUGAGUGAAGAAGGUUUUCGGAUCGUAAAGCUCUGUUGUAAGUCAAGAACGAGUGUGAGAGUGGAAAGUUCACACUGUGACGGUAGCUUACCAGAAAGGGACGGCUAACUACGUGCCAGCAGCCGCGGUAAUACGUAGGUCCCGAGCGUUGUCCGGAUUUAUUGGGCGUAAAGCGAGCGCAGGCGGUUUGAUAAGUCUGAAGUUAAAGGCUGUGGCUCAACCAUAGUUCGCUUUGGAAACUGUCAAACUUGAGUGCAGAAGGGGAGAGUGGAAUUCCAUGUGUAGCGGUGAAAUGCGUAGAUAUAUGGAGGAACACCGGUGGCGAAAGCGGCUCUCUGGUCUGUAACUGACGCUGAGGCUCGAAAGCGUGGGGAGCGAACAGGAUUAGAUACCCUGGUAGUCCACGCCGUAAACGAUGAGUGCUAGGUGUUGGAUCCUUUCCGGGAUUCAGUGCCGCAGCUAACGCAUUAAGCACUCCGCCUGGGGAGUACGACCGCAAGGUUGAAACUCAAAGGAAUUGACGGGGGCCCGCACAAGCGGUGGAGCAUGUGGUUUAAUUCGAAGCAACGCGAAGAACCUUACCAGGUCUUGACAUCCCGAUGCUAUUUCUAGAGAUAGAAAGUUACUUCGGUACAUCGGUGACAGGUGGUGCAUGGUUGUCGUCAGCUCGUGUCGUGAGAUGUUGGGUUAAUCCCGCACGAGCGCA
This 1043-nucleotide ribosomal RNA is filed under the name Streptococcus salivarius. Its description in RNAcentral is "bacterial SSU rRNA". It matches the Rfam family "Bacterial small subunit ribosomal RNA", at positions 70 to 1100 of the family's 1533-position model. Lineage: Bacteria; Bacillati; Bacillota; Bacilli; Lactobacillales; Streptococcaceae. The record is from RNAcentral.